GCUUCGAUGGCGCAGUGGCAGCGCACCGUCUUGGUACGACGGAGGCCGCGGGUUCGACCCCCGCUCGAAGCU
This 72-nucleotide transfer RNA is filed under the name Brachybacterium kimchii. RNAcentral's name for it is "Brachybacterium sp. CBA3104 tRNA-Thr". It matches the Rfam family "tRNA". Rfam says of the family: Transfer RNA (tRNA) molecules are approximately 80 nucleotides in length. Lineage: Bacteria; Bacillati; Actinomycetota; Actinomycetes; Micrococcales; Dermabacteraceae. The record is from RNAcentral.